Molecule: long non-coding RNA, 1459 nt
Organism: Raphanus sativus (radish)
Lineage: Eukaryota; Viridiplantae; Streptophyta; Magnoliopsida; Brassicales; Brassicaceae
Exons: 3
Source: RefSeq, a predicted model, not a curated record
UUUUUUUUUCUUUUCUUCUUAUUUCAUUAAUCGACCAAACACAUAUGAAUUAGCCUUAUGUAAAGUCUAACUCAGAAACCCUACUCUCGUUUCAGACUUUUCUUCUUCGUGUAUCUCUCUCCGGCCGGGGCCAACUGAUUCCAAUCAUCCAAACGCCAGUUGAAUGCUAAAACCCAAUCGAAGGAAUAACAAUUCGAUUCUAAAAAAGGUCUUUCGAUGGGGAACAAAAUCGCUCGAACGGCGCAAGUCUCGGCGACGGAGUACUACCUGCACGACUUGCCUUCCUCUUACAAUCUCGUCCUCAAGGAGGUUCUAGGCCGAGGAAGAUUCUUCAAGUCGAUCCUCUGUAAGCACUAUACAAAGGGUUGGUCCUCGUCGAGGUCUAUUUCAAGCGCGGCGACUCAGUCAAUCUCAGGGAGUACUAGCGUCGUCUCGUGAAGAUGAAGGAUAUGUUUUUAUCACUUGAAUCUCCUCACGUCUGGCCUUUCUAGUUUUGACAAGAGACUGAUAAAGCGGCUUAUCUAGUGAGGCAGUACUUCUUGAGUAACCUGCAUGAUCGGUUAAGUACUAGGCCUUUCCUCAGUCUUGCGGAGAAGAAAUGGUUGGCGUUUCAGGCCUUCUUCUCGGUCUUGUCCUCAGGGCUGGGUUGCUGACCUUGUUUAAGAAGAAGCUUUCAUGUCUGCUCGAAUUUUGAUGUAGUGCCGGAUCUUGAGACUAUGAACUUCAUAGUUCUAAGCAGGACAGAUAGAUAGAUACAAGAUCAGAGAAGUCGAGGUUGUUGUUCUUUCAUUCUCACUCACUCACAUUCACUGUUUUAAAAACAUGUUCUCUGUUUUUUAAAGCUGUGAACUUUUUAAUGUUCUGAAACAGCCUUAAUGUUCUCUGUUUCUUAAAGCUGUGAACUUUGAAUGUUCUGAAACAGCCUUAUUAUGUGGCCGAGACUACUAUGCCAGGGGGAACUGGAACACUUAUCAGUUUUCAGGUGAGGUUGCUGUGACAUGAUAGUAUUUUUUGUUCUGAAUUUAUCUUUGUUCUUUAUAGAGGAGUUGUUGUGGCAGAAGAUGAUUCAAGGUUGAAGGGUCGAGGCCAUCGUUCCAGCUUUCUUACUUGCUCUUGAUUCCCUGAACUCUAAAGGCGAGUUGCCUUUUUCUUUCACUUAUUCUUUUUAUUGUAUGUCGUUUAUAUAUGUGCUAGAGACUUGUGCUUUGUGGUUCUGUUUCUAGGUUAGACGAGAUUGGCUUUUACUUCAAUAUUAGGUACUUUAAAACACUGUAACAGUUGGUGAAUUUGGACGAUGUUGAUGAGAAAGUGGUGGUCGUGAGCAAAGAGGAGGUGGCCAUGAAGAUAGGUUUAGAUUUUUUUUUUGUUUAGUGUAAACAAUUUUUUUGGUUAGUUUGUUAAACUGUUAUGGUUUUGUAAACAAUUUCAGAUUUAUAAAAAUAAAAUAUGUUUAUUUUUA